GGGGUGUCUACUCCGAGGUUGUGCCUACGGGAUCAAGUUCUCCUAACCCGAGGCUUGCUCCUAGGAUUCUUUAGUAAUUCGACUUCUAAAUUCUAGUAAGUUCUUGUUUUAUUGUUCUUUGGUUUAUGAGUUUACUUUAAUCUCUUCCGGUUGAGUUUAGAGUAAUCAUUACUAGUGUAAACGUGGUGUUUGGGCUAGGGUACUCAUAGAUAUCCCCUGACUAGCU
This 226-nucleotide long non-coding RNA is filed under the name Sorghum bicolor (sorghum). RNAcentral's name for it is "long non-coding RNA (SBIC_LNC002640)". The record is from RNAcentral. Lineage: Eukaryota; Viridiplantae; Streptophyta; Magnoliopsida; Poales; Poaceae.